AGCCUUGUGUAUCCGCGCUGAGAUUUCAUUACACACCAGACUACCAAGUCUGAUGAAACUCCCAAGAUAAGUGAAGCG
RNAcentral lists this microRNA precursor (78 nucleotides) under Schistosoma mattheei. RNAcentral describes it as "mir-3492 microRNA precursor family". It matches the Rfam family "mir-3492 microRNA precursor family". The record is from Rfam by way of RNAcentral. Lineage: Eukaryota; Metazoa; Platyhelminthes; Trematoda; Strigeidida; Schistosomatidae.